AAGUCGUAACAAGGUUUCCGUAGGUGAACCUGCGGAAGGAUCAUUACCAAAAAAAGAAAAUUUAAUUUUUUUUUUUAAACAAUUAUUCAUCCAACCUGUGAACCUAACCUAAUUGAAAUUGAAACGUUUAAAUAUAAUUUAUUUAUAUUUAAACCCACAAAUCCAAUUCAUAUCACUCUAUAUAUUUUUUUAAUACUUUAUAACAGUGUUUUAUUGUUAAAUCAAUAAUUAAUUUAUACACAACUUUCAGCAACGGAUCUCUAGGCUCUU
RNAcentral lists this unclassified non-coding RNA (270 nucleotides) under fungal sp. RNAcentral's name for it is "partial internal transcribed spacer region". The stretch from base 1 to 46 matches the Rfam family "Eukaryotic small subunit ribosomal RNA", at positions 1786 to 1831 of the family's 1831-position model. Lineage: Eukaryota; Fungi. The record is from RNAcentral.